Molecule: ribosomal RNA, 608 nt
Filed under: uncultured bacterium
Lineage: Bacteria
Description: bacterial SSU rRNA
Rfam family: Bacterial small subunit ribosomal RNA
Source: RNAcentral
GCCUAGGAAUCUGCCUGGUAGUGGGGGAUAACGUUCGGAAACGGACGCUAAUACCGCAUACGUCCUACGGGAGAAAGCAGGGGACCUUCGGGCCUUGCGCUAUCAGAUGAGCCUAGGUCGGAUUAGCUAGUUGGUGGGGUAAUGGCUCACCAAGGCGACGAUCCGUAACUGGUCUGAGAGGGUGAUCAGUCACACUGGAACUGAGACACGGUCCAGACUCCUACGGGAGGCAGCAGUGGGGAAUAUUGGACAAUGGGCGAAAGCCUGAUCCAGCCAUGCCGCGUGUGUGAAGAAGGUCUUCGGAUUGUAAAGCACUUUAAGUUGGGAGGAAGGGUUGUAGAUUAAUACUCUGCAAUUUUGACGUUACCGACAGAAUAAGCACCGGCUAACUCUGUGCCAGCAGCCGCGGUAAUACAGAGGGUGCAAGCGUUAAUCGGAAUUACUGGGCGUAAAGCGCGCGUAGGUGGUUUGUUAAGUUGGAUGUGAAAUCCCCGGGCUCAACCUGGGAACUGCAUUCAAAACUGACUGACUAGAGUAUGGUAGAGGGUGGUGGAAUUUCCUGUGUAGCGGUGAAAUGCGUAGAUAUAGGAAGGAACACCAGUGGCGAA